UAUAAUAUAAUCAUUAUAUAAUUAUAUAUUAUAUAAUAUUAUUAUAUAAUAAUAUAUGUUUUGCAUUUACAUAGUUCCUUUAAUCUGAUUUUGUCUGUCAGCCAGACUCAUUCCCCAGCUAUUCUUUAUGCAAAAGUUCUAUAGAACUGAAAAUAAGGAAUUCUGUCCCUUCUGUAGAAUUUCAACCAAUUGUUUUCAAACCCACGCGAACACUGCAAACAACAUAUAGAAAAGAUCCCAUUCUAUUUCAAUGGAAGCCUAUAUGUUUUGUUCCUAUUCUUUUUCAGAGGCCUUUCCCAUAAGCAAUCUUCUGAAGCUGUUGUUUUUUACGGCGGUCGUGCCACAGACAGCGUGUCUCUUAAGGCAGGAGCAUCUUUUUAGGUUCUGUGAAUUUGAUUCAGUUAAAUUGAUUUUCCCUCCUUUCCCCCACCCACAGUCCAGUGCUAACAAUUACCUUUGUCUCUUCUGCUAUACUGACUUGAGCUACAUUCGUACAGCGUAACCGGUUCCAGGAAGGGUCAGUCCUGGGACAGGAGAGCUUGAAGAGACUUCUAAGUGAUGCAGGCUACAAUGGGAAUGAUCCAAAAUCUGGCAUUCUUUCCUCUCUGAACAUUACAGAAGCAGUCCCUCCACCUGGUGUUAAGCGGGAAUUGUGCUUCUAGAAGUGCCUGAGAUUUAAAACCAAGGUCCUGACCACUUUAGGCCAGUAAAGAUAGGAUGCACUGAUGCAAGUGUGUUUCCUCUGUAUUGCAGCUUCUACAGUGCCCUUAGAGGGAACCAAAGCAUGAAGGGUGCAUCCAAGUGGGACUAACCGCGGGAGAAGGUGGCAGCAAGAACCUGGUGGAGUGCAGAAGCCCCUUUUGACAUAGCAAGCUGUGUUAGUGCAGAGAAUCUGGACCAUAGUUCAAAACUGUGUUGAGUCGGGCUUGUCCACUCUUCCAUCAAAGCUUUGUGUGUGUGACUGCGAACUGGGUUUGUAACUCAAUGAAAUUAUUUUGCAGAAAGUGUCUGUUUUCCCUUGAAAUUUUUCAUUUUUCUUAUUGUUGGAAAAGGAAGAGCCUGAAACAUGAAGAAUGUUUGGGUUUCGACAAAAAGUCAAAAUUUUCAGCGACAUUCAAGAGCCUGCCAUUUUCGCAGGCAUAAUUUGACAUAAUUUAGGAUUUGCCCAUUUCUCCAAUGAGCCCCACUUUUAUUUUUCCCAAUUACAAAAAGCAUCCCACAUUUGUUGUAUACAUUGGUGGUUGCUGUGGUAGGGGACAUGUCGCCAGGUACCAGGUGCUUUAUCGUCACAGAAGCAUUUUUAAUAGAGAUGGAAGCUUCCGUUGACCAACACAGGAACAACAAAAAAAAAUACAAAACAUCAUCUCCGGCUGCACAGCAUUCAUGAAUUAACACCAUAUUCAAUCACAAGCAGAAAUAUACUUCACCAUAAAUAAAUUUAAAUUCAUUGUACAAAAAACCCCAAGUAGCUCUUCGUACAAAUAUGGUACAUUGGAUAAGUGUUCUUGCAAACAUUUUUUUUUAAAUGUUCAAGAACAAAUUUUUGCUCUGGUUCACAAACACAUAAACCAACUGAACUGGAAUAAUACAGGAGAAAAAGGACGAGAGUGUUCACCACUCCUAAUAAGUGUUGUUAGAGAAAAGAAUGCCAUUGAAGUAGAGUUUGAGUUGGUUUGAUUUCCCCUUUCUACUGGGCUGCUCAAAAUCAAGUACAUCAUCAUCAUCAUCAAGGAAUGGGGCUGUGCACUGCAAAUACUCAUAUUUCAUAGAUUUUUAAUGCAUGAAGGGAUCAUUAUGAUAAUCUAGUCUGACCUCCAGCAUAACUCAGGCCACAAUAUUUUAUCCACUAAUUGCUGCAUCAAACCCAACAACUUCUGUGUACAUAUAAAGAAGACAUAGAUCCAGUUUUAAUUUAAAGGCUCUGAGGGUAUGUCUACAUUGCAAUGUAAGCCCAGGGUUAGCAGAACUUCAGUGAGCAGACCAUGUGGUUGUUAACCUAGGCCUUGAGAGUCUACACUCAUUUGUAACCCCUGGUUAGGAAUUGUUGAACCCUGGGUCUCAAUCUGGGGCGCCAGCAUCUACACUGCAUUAUUCGGACCCGAGUCCAACAACCCAUCUCCCAGACUUGCUAGUGCCCCUCCUCCCCAAAAUGUGGCUGCUCUAGCCCUUUGUUUGUGGUGCAGAGUGGAGAAAUCUGACUGUCCAGAAGACAUAGAAAGUUAGCCCAUGGGAUUGUAGGAUACUUUUGGUGGAUACCCAGAGCAAGGAUCCAAGCCCUGUGUUAGCACAAUUUGUGUGUAGACGGUAGGAGGGUUAGGCUUGAACCUGAGUUCAAACCCUGGGCUUACUCUGCAGUGUAGACAUAUCCCAAGUGCUGGAGGAUUUACCACAUCCUUUGGUAAUCUGUUCCAGCGGUUAAUUACCCUCACUGUUAAUAAUUUGCACCUUAAAGACUAAAGAUUAUUAGAUUAAAAAGAACAAGCAAAACAGAAAAGGUUGUCCAGUUCAUUCAAUGGCCCUAUCUUAAAACCCUUACUAAAUAUGUAGUCAAAGAGGCUUUGAGAACAGGAGCUAAGAUCUACACAACUGACUUGCAUCCUUUUGGUAGAAAAGGGUAUUGAAAUUCAAGUUGCAUGAAUAAAGGUUGUAUGACUGAGCCCUUGCUGCCAUCCCACACUACUUGAGCAACAGUGUAAAACACCCGCGUAAACCCUACAGCUGAAAUAUACUCUGUUUUAAUCAUACGGCUUUGGUUUCCUGCUCAUAAUUUUUUAUUCUUCCCCCCCUCCCCCUCCCCCAACAGGUCCUGAGAAGGGUUGGGAGGUCAUUUUGUUCAAGCAAAUUUCCCAUGCGUGGACAACAGACACAUAUAUUGGUCCAUGCAUUCCAUUUCAGCUCAUCCAACUGUGCUUUAUAGUCCUCAAGAAUUAAUCCCCUAAAACAACAGCAAAAGAACAUUACAUUUCACAAGCUGAUGUUCAUACAUGGUGAAAUACACCACAACUCAUUCAGAGCCUAAGUGCUGGCAGACAGGCUUUAAUCGCAUAAAGCCAAUUACGUCUAGCUGCUGGAGCUAGGCUGUGUGGUACACUUCACCCUUAUGUAUUAAACUUGUAGUGUUUUGUGCCACAACCAGGCCCACCGACAGAAAUUCCGGGCCCCUAGGGAGGUGAAGCCCAGGGUGGAAGUGACGAAUUCGUCAUUUCCAGGACCGCCCACGAUAGCCAAUUGCAUUGGCCUGCAGGGCCCCCCAAAACAUGGGGCCCGCAGCAGUUGUGCGCACCUAGGAGGCCUGCAGGCUUGGACUGCGACCCCUCUUCUCCCUCCUGCUGGGGGGAGGGGAGGCCUCGGGCUUCGGCCCCACCCGAGGUGGCGGGGCUUGGGCUCCGUGCCAUUCCUGGGGUCAUGCAGUAACUUUGUUGUCAGAAGGGGGUCGUGGUGCAAUGAAGUUUGAGAACCCCUUUAGCCCAAUAAAAAAUACCAUUUAGGAUCUUUCCUGUCAUCUCAUCUCAUUUCACACACAAAAAAUAACAUUCCUGAUGUCCCCACUCUGCUAACCCAGAUUUUUUACAUGUAUGUAGGUCCACUGACUUCAGUGUAGUAACAUCAGGCUGAUGUAACAGAGCGGGAACCAGGCCUUUCAUCCUUAGUAGAGGAGCAGUUAUCAUAUAUAAAGCAGAACCUUCCGAUGUUUGUGUCCUUGAACAUGCUGUUCUUCUUCCAGAUGGGAUGGAAAAAAAUCCACCCUCUCAGACUCAAGUCUUUUCCUGCCUGAUGAUUUGAUUAAAUGAUCUGAGAUGAUUUCCCUCAACCUUCAUGUUAGUUUCAGAUUAAAAUGCACCAGAGAUUUUCUUUUUGUAGCUUAAACAGCUGCCUCAGGAAACUCAAGGUGGCCAAUAUGCCCAGCAGCACUUGAGGGGGAUAUUCACUGGUUGCCAGGGAAACAGAGGUGGAUGCUCUCUGGGAGAACAAAGGCAUCUCCCAUCAGAAAUUCACCUCUAGCCAACAAUAUUGAGUUGGCUGCUGGUCUCAAAGACAGAACGUUCCAGACAUGACACCUCUUCAGCUGAUCUCCUUUCUGUUCCCUCUGACGGAAUAACUGCUCGCUGUCUCUGGCUUCGCAGCAUUUGUGAAAGCAGUGCAUUGUCCACAGUAAGAUGAACCGAGUGUCUGGGUUGUGUUGAGCUACAGUGCAUCAACAUUGCUGUAUUACAUAAUGGCAAAGGUCUGAUUUAACCUAAAUAAAAUCAAGAAAUUAAAA
Dermochelys coriacea (leatherback sea turtle) is the source of this 4261-nucleotide long non-coding RNA. RefSeq lists it as uncharacterized. NCBI's taxonomy places the organism in Eukaryota, Metazoa, Chordata, Testudines, Dermochelyidae. The record is from RefSeq and is a predicted model, not a curated record. The transcript is spliced from 2 exons.